RNAcentral lists this long non-coding RNA (211 nucleotides) under Elaeis guineensis (African oil palm). RNAcentral's name for it is "long non-coding RNA (EGUI_LNC075189)". The record is from RNAcentral. Lineage: Eukaryota; Viridiplantae; Streptophyta; Magnoliopsida; Arecales; Arecaceae.
UUGAUCUGAAUUUGAUCAGUCAGAUGUUAUAUCUACUGAUUUAGAAGAAACUUAAAUCUAAAUCUCCUCACUGAAUAUUAAGUCUAGAAGUCUUCCAUCAUUGUAGAGAUGCGGGUGCCUUCCUGACAUUGAUCGUUCUCGACUAGUUACAGUGAUUCGGUUGCAUCGAAAAGGUACAAUCACUCUAUUGGCAUUUGAUCUCCUGGAGUAG